CGGCAACAGCUCAAAUUUGAAAUCUGGCUCUUUCAGGGUCCGAGUUGUAAUUUGUAGAAGAUGCUUCGGGUGAGGCUCUGGUCUAAGUUCCUUGGAACAGGACGUCAUAGAGGGUGAGAAUCCCGU
Molecule: ribosomal RNA, 126 nt
Filed under: Helotiales sp.
Lineage: Eukaryota; Fungi; Ascomycota; Leotiomycetes; Helotiales
Description: partial large subunit ribosomal RNA
Rfam family: Eukaryotic large subunit ribosomal RNA
Source: RNAcentral